RNAcentral lists this transfer RNA (70 nucleotides) under Rhynchoconger ectenurus. RNAcentral's name for it is "tRNA-Ser". Lineage: Eukaryota; Metazoa; Chordata; Actinopteri; Anguilliformes; Congridae. The record is from RNAcentral.
GAGAGAGCAAGCCCAACCUUGAAAGAUUGCUAGUCAUUCAAGCCCGCGGUUGAAAUCCGCGGCUCACUCG